CGGCACGGGUGAGUAACACGUGAGUGACCUGCCUUUUAGACUGGAACAACUUACCGAAAGGUGAGCUAAUGCCGGAUGAGUUAUAUAAGUGCAUGUUUAUAUAGGAAAAGUUGGGGAGACCUGACGCUGAAAGAUGGACUCGCGUCCCAUUAGCUAGUUGGUAGGGUAAUGGCCUACCAAGGCGACGAUGGGUAGCCGGCCUGAGAGGGUGGCCGGCCACACUGGGACUGAGACACGGCCCAGACUCCUACGGAAGGCAGCAG
Molecule: ribosomal RNA, 263 nt
Filed under: uncultured bacterium
Lineage: Bacteria
Description: partial 16S ribosomal RNA
Rfam family: Bacterial small subunit ribosomal RNA
Source: RNAcentral